Molecule: long non-coding RNA, 201 nt
Filed under: Physcomitrium patens
Lineage: Eukaryota; Viridiplantae; Streptophyta; Bryopsida; Funariales; Funariaceae
Description: long non-coding RNA (PPAT_LNC000427)
Source: RNAcentral
AUGAGAAGGUAGAUAAUACUCUCGCUUCAGCAGAAACAAUUUCUUCAAUAUUCCCACAAGAAAGCAUUCUAUUGAUAUUCACUUGCAAUUUGGAGUUGAUUUGAGUCACUGAUUACACACUUUGUGCAAAAGAAUAAGAUGGAAUUGGUUCACAAAGACUCCUCAUGACUCUCCCACAGAUGUAAAAGACUUACAGAAACA